Non-coding RNA from Acanthosepion pharaonis, 113 nucleotides. NCBI's taxonomy places the organism in Eukaryota, Metazoa, Mollusca, Cephalopoda, Sepiida, Sepiidae. The record is from the annotation of a GenBank genome assembly.
UUACGGCCAUAUCACAUCGAAACAUCAGUACCCGUAUGAUCACCGAAGUUAAGCAACGUCGAUCCUGGUCAUCACCUAGAUGGGUAACCGCUUAGGAAUACAAGGUGCUGUAA